Molecule: ribosomal RNA, 937 nt
Filed under: Pasteurella multocida
Lineage: Bacteria; Pseudomonadati; Pseudomonadota; Gammaproteobacteria; Pasteurellales; Pasteurellaceae
Description: bacterial SSU rRNA
Rfam family: Bacterial small subunit ribosomal RNA
Source: RNAcentral
UGGCGGCAGGCUUAACACAUGCAAGUCGAACGGUAGCAGGAAGAAAGCUUGCUUUCUUUGCUGACGAGUGGCGGACGGGUGAGUAAUACUUGGGAAUCUGGCUUAUGGAGGGGGAUAACUGUGGGAAACUGCAGCUAAUACCGCGUAUUCUCUGAGGAGGAAAGGGUGGGACCUUAGGGCCACCUGCCAUAAGAUGAGCCCAAGUGGGAUUAGGUAGUUGGUGGGGUAAAGGCCUACCAAGCCUGCGAUCUCUAGCUGGUCUGAGAGGAUGACCAGCCACACUGGAACUGAGACACGGUCCAGACUCCUACGGGAGGCAGCAGUGGGGAAUAUUGCGCAAUGGGGGGAACCCUGACGCAGCCAUGCCGCGUGAAUGAAGAAGGCCUUCGGGUUGUAAAGUUCUUUCGGUAAUGAGGAAGGGAUGUUGUUAAAUAGAUAGCAUCAUUGACGUUAAUUACAGAAGAAGCACCGGCUAACUCCGUGCCAGCAGCCGCGGUAAUACGGAGGGUGCGAGCGUUAAUCGGAAUAACUGGGCGUAAAGGGCACGCAGGCGGACUUUUAAGUGAGAUGUGAAAUCCCCGAGCUUAACUUGGGAACUGCAUUUCAGACUGGGAGUCUAGAGUACUUUAGGGAGGGGUAGAAUUCCACGUGUAGCGGUGAAAUGCGUAGAGAUGUGGAGGAAUACCGAAGGCGAAGGCAGCCCCUUGGGAAUGUACUGACGCUCAUGUGCGAAAGCGUGGGGAGCAAACAGGAUUAGAUACCCUGGUAGUCCACGCUGUAAACGCUGUCGAUUUGGGGAUUGGGCUAUAUGCUUGGUGCCCGAAGCUAACGUGAUAAAUCGACCGCCUGGGGAGUACGGCCGCAAGGUUAAAACUCAAAUGAAUUGACGGGGGCCCGCACAAGCGGUGGAGCAUGUGGUUUAAUUCGAUGCAACGCG